Molecule: ribosomal RNA, 362 nt
Filed under: Komagataella phaffii
Lineage: Eukaryota; Fungi; Ascomycota; Pichiomycetes; Pichiales; Pichiaceae
Description: eukaryotic LSU rRNA
Rfam family: Eukaryotic large subunit ribosomal RNA
Source: RNAcentral
AUAUCAAUAAGCGGAGGAAAAGAAACCAACAGGGAUUGCCUCAGUAACGGCGAGUGAAGCGGCAAAAGUCCACCUUUGAAGUAUUGACGUGGUUGGGAGAGGCAAUGUGCACAAGUCGCCUGGAACGGCCGCCAAAGAGGGUGAUAGCCCCGUAGCACGGUCAACCUUCCCAGCCGACAGAGUCGAGUUGUUUGGGAAUGCAGCUCUAAAGGUGGUAGGGUCCAUCAAAGACUAAAUAUCAGCGAGAGACCGAUAGCAAACAAGUACAGUGAUGGAAAGAUGAAAAGAACUUUGAAAAGAGAGUGAAACAGUGCGUGAAAUUGGGGGGAGGGAAGGCAAGGCCACGACAAGUGGUCCUGCGC